GAUCCAAGGGUUGAGAAGCACUUCCAUAGAGACUUCCGGGCUUGAGAAAGCCAGUAGGAGCUGUGCUAAGAGCAGAAGAAGAGCAGGCGACUUCGUUUUUUAUAUUUAAUUAAAAAUUUAAUAACAGGAGGCCA
RNAcentral lists this long non-coding RNA (134 nucleotides) under Mus musculus (house mouse). RNAcentral describes it as "predicted gene 42791". Lineage: Eukaryota; Metazoa; Chordata; Mammalia; Rodentia; Muridae. The record is from RNAcentral.